This 878-nucleotide long non-coding RNA is filed under the name Salmo salar (Atlantic salmon). RNAcentral's name for it is "lncRNA (ENSSSAG00000120327.1, ENSSSAG00075023952.1)". Lineage: Eukaryota; Metazoa; Chordata; Actinopteri; Salmoniformes; Salmonidae. The record is from RNAcentral.
CGUACAACUGCGAAGAAGAACAUAAAAAAGAGAAAGAAAAGAGAGAUAGAGAGCAUAUCAGUCUACUUAUCUACUUAUCACAAGACAGGAAGUAAAGUGACAGUGGGCUUGAGUCAUGGCAGGAUAAUGCUAGGGAAGAGUGUACCCGGGGCAAUGAAGCAUGACACUCUAGAUAGGCUGACAUCAUUUUAAACCGCCAUCAUCAUUAUAGCUCAGACCAUUCAUGUUAUAGCUCGGACCAUUCAGUAUAGGCUCCCAAAUUACAUAUAGGCCCUAUCCUGUUUCCGGUAACACUUUACUUGACACCCAGCGUCAUAACACGUUAUGACAUGUUCAUAACCAUGUCAUGACAUAUUAAUAAUGGCACCGGAGGGAAUGGCUGCCGUUUUACUGGCUCCUACCCAACUUUGCUAUUUUGUUUGUUUUUGCACAUUUUUUUUACUAAUUUUGUACACAAUGUUGCUGCUACCGUCUCUUAUGACCAAAAAUAACUUCUGGACAUCAGGACAGUGAUUACUCACCUCGAACUGGAGGAAUAUUUUUACUUUAAUGAGUCCGAGGCGAAGGAUAUACUGCUUCCUGGAGACCAGGCCUUCAUCCCCGUCAUUCGCGUGAAGAAAAGACGGAAAUACAUGGGGCAGAGGUCUGGGAGCCUUGUGAGAAUUUGUCGGCGAUUCUGUUCCCUAGUUUCCCCGGUUCUGACCAUUCUGCCUGGCCUGACCCCAAGCCUGCCUGCCAUUCUGUGCCUACCUGACUCUGACCCAUUUACGAACCUCUGCCUGUCCUGACCCCGAGCCUGCCUGCUGUUCUGUACCUUAUUGACUCUGCCCUGGAUUGCGGACCUCUGCCUGCCUUUGACCUGUCUUUUGCCUUCCCCC